CCUGUCCAAGCUCAAGAAGCUCACAUGGGUGUCUCAAUGGUGUUUCUGGCUUGGACCAUGACUCUGUAUUUUUAAUACAUGUUGACACAUAUAAAUGAAUAUUGCAAAAUGUAGUCCAAAGGUCAUUCUUUAGCUUUAAUGUCCCAGCUAUAGUAUCAAAUAUGUUGAGUUAGAGAUUUACUAGUAAAGCUGGUAACUGAUUUUUCCUUAGCUUCCUUUGUCUCCUUUAUACAGGUUAAAACCAGGAGAGAGAAAAGAGUAAGAAAGCUGGUAGAAUGAGCACACAUCAUCAUACUGGCUGAGAACUGAUGCUCACAAAUGCAUAGAGCUCACACAUGAGUCAAGGCAUGCUCCAUGUGAAGGCUGUUGAUGACCCUCCUAUGUGUGACUUUGUCCUGUUUCGAUUGGAGUUGCUUGGAAUGACAACAAUACAGAAAAGAGAGACUUCAACCUCACCCUUUGGAUGAAGUGUUUCAUAGUGUCCUUUAUAGCUUCUAUCAACUUUAUCUGUAAGUAAAAGAAUUCCUAACUUUUGGCAACAGAUUCAUAAAAUCCUCUUAUUUUUCCAUUAAAUAUAUUUAAUUUAUUCAAUACAUUUGUGUAUGUCAUGGCAACCUGUAUCCUUGGCAUGCUAGGUUUCAGGCUAUGGGCUUGAUUUGGGCUUCUAUUUCUAUGGUGAGCAGAUUAAAAGUAGACCUUUCUGCUCUGCCUAGCACUGUCUUAUUCCCUCCAUCUCAGUUUUUUUUUUUUUAAGUAUAUAUAUUUUUUCUUUCUUUCUUUCUUUUUUUAAUUGUAAUCAAUUGUUAUUUCCCCAAUACAUUUUUUUCUAAUGUACAGCAUGGUGACCCAGUUAUACAUACAUGUAUGCAUUCUUUUUUGUCACAUUAUCAUGCUCCAUCAUAAGUGACUAGACAUCUUAGUUUAUCAGUCUCUGGGUAGUCUAGCCUGAGACUUGAGCUCUAUCAAUUUAAGACAGAAAUUCAGAGCUCUACCCUGUUGUAUAGAACUUUUCAGUUUACAUUGUUAAGUAAGAAGUUUUUCAGUAGCGCCAUUAAAGUAUACCUUGCAUAUUGGUGGUAAUCAGAUUAUUUUUCUCCCCUGGGCCUAAGAGCUUACUUUUUAUUCAUAUGGUUAUUAAUCCUUGAUUGAUUUGUGCAUUAGGUUGUCUAAAACUUAGAACUUAAAACGGAUUUUUAAAAUCCUCUCCACACUCAAAUUCUAAUAUUGAAACCAUAAACCUCUAUGUUUUACAAAAGUUUUCCACUUGAUUUGAGUUAUUUUGGGAAGAACCAGAAUCUAACUGGAACCUAACCAUCAGAUAAGAAAGUUUCCAAAAUUGGAGGAAGCAUUUCUCCUUAAAAGCCCUAACAAAUUUAUAGAAGGGAUUCUA
Molecule: long non-coding RNA, 1390 nt
Filed under: Sus scrofa (pig)
Lineage: Eukaryota; Metazoa; Chordata; Mammalia; Artiodactyla; Suidae
Description: lncRNA (ENSSSCG00035055049.1, ENSSSCG00070004293.1)
Source: RNAcentral